This 497-nucleotide ribosomal RNA is filed under the name uncultured bacterium. RNAcentral describes it as "partial 16S ribosomal RNA". It matches the Rfam family "Bacterial small subunit ribosomal RNA", at positions 28 to 507 of the family's 1533-position model. The record is from RNAcentral.
GAUGAACGCUGGCGGCGUGCCUAAUACAUGCAAGUCGAGCGAACAGACGAGGAGCUUGCUCCUCUGACGUUAGCGGCGGACGGGUGAGUAACACGUGGAUAACCUACCUAUAAGACUGGGAUAACUUCGGGAAACCGGAGCUAAUACCGGAUAAUAUAUUGAACCGCAUGGUUCAAUAGUGAAAGACGGAUUUGCUGUCAUUUAUAGAUGGAUUCGCGCCGCAUUAGCUAGUUGGUAAGGUAACGGCUUACCAAGGGAACGAUCCUAAGCCGACCGGAGAGGGUGAUCGGCCACACUGGAACGGGAACACGGUCCAGACUCCUAGGGGAGGCAGAAGUAGGGAAUCUUCGGAAAUGGGCGAAAGCCUGACGGAGCAACGCCGCGGGAGUGAUGAAGGUCUUCGGAUCGUAAAACUCUGUUAUUAGGGAAGAACAAAUGUGUAAGUAACUGUGCACGUCUUGACGGUACCUAAUCAGAAAGCCACGGCUAACUACGUG